Molecule: long non-coding RNA, 30743 nt
Organism: Mus musculus (house mouse)
Lineage: Eukaryota; Metazoa; Chordata; Mammalia; Rodentia; Muridae
Product: predicted gene, 47342
Exons: 2
Source: RefSeq, a predicted model, not a curated record
GAGAGAUUCGGAGAAAGACUACACACAGAGGAGAAAAGAUGAUGCGGAGAUUAGAAGCAUUCAUUGUUAAGCCCGGAAUGCAGGGGCAGCUACUAAGAAGAAGAAGAAGCAAGGAGGGGCUGGAGAGAUGGCUCAGCAGUUAAGAGCACUGACUGCUCUUCUGAAGGUUCUGAGUUCAAAUCCCAGCAACCACAUGGUAGCUCACAACCAUCUGUAAUGAGAUCUGAUGCCCUCUUCUGGAGUGUCUGAAGACAGCUACAGUGUACCUACAUAUAAUAAAUAAAUAAAUCUUAAAAAAAAAAAAGAAGAUGAAGAAGCAAGGAAGAGUUAGUUCCUGACUAAGGUCCUCCUAGAGACUUCAGGCUUGUGUGACUUCUGAACUCUAAAACCCUAAAACUCUGGGAGCGUGCAUUUCUGUUUUUGAAACUACCACAUUUAUGGUAACCUGUUAUGGUACUAUCGGGAAAACUCUCUUCCUUCCUCUGUGUUAGCACUUAAAAAUAAACGAGGAAGGCUGAGGAGAGUUGACGAGGAAGGCUGAGGAGAGUUGACGAGGAAGGCUGAGGAGAGUUGAGCAGGUAGAGCGUCUGUCACUAAUGCAUGAGGAUUUGUAACACCAGAAUCUGCUUUAAAAACUGGGCAAGGUGUAACACAAGGCUGGCCAGCAGGCGGGGGUGGGAGGAUGGAACUGCAAACCGCAGGGAAUGAUUGGCUAACGAAUUGAUGAACUUUAAAAGUAAGCAGCGCAGUCCCUUCAGCGGACUUUGGUUCUGUUGCCAGCACCCAUGUGGCAGCUCAUGACUGUAACUCCAGUCCCAGGAGAUCUGCCAUGUUUUUUUUGGCACCUGUGGCGAUCCAGACAUGCAAAGGAUGAAUAGAGAUGAACGUAGAUGAAACACCCCCAUACAUAAAAAGUUAUAAUAAAAUGAGGAGAGUUUCUUGAGGGAAGAAAGUUAACAUUUACCUGCCCUCUCCCCUUGAGAGUGUAUGCACCUAACAAUUACACAUUGAAUUCCAGCCUGCACAUGCAUGAGUGUGUGCACCUAGUAGGCACACACAAAUACACACACACAGUGGGGGGGGGGGGGAUGAGAAAAAGCUACAAUGAUUUUCUAGCUCAAUGUAGUUGUCCUUGGUUACAGAAUUAAGAACAUAAAAUUGCAUACUGUAGAAGUUAGUUGCCUGCAAAGGUAAACAAUAAAAUGCAAUGAUCAAGGCCUGACACGCUUAUCUCUCAUUAGUCAUAUUUUGAUUCUUGAAACGUGAACCUGAUUAAGCAAAUAGUUGAAGGGGUGGGGGUAGUAGACCAGAAGUUUUAAGUAGAACCAACCCGGACGAGGUGAUUGGAAAUGGCUGUAAGCCGCAUGUGGACUUUGCAGGCCAUCCCAGGCACUUCUUCACAGGGUAUGGUAUGCAGAGGGACCCGACACCUGACAUGUCUCAGUGAGGAGAGAUCCUGCAUGAGUGGCCAGUGGAAGGCAAAGUGAUGGCUCACUUUCUUCCUCAAAUUCUUUCUUGAUGACAUAAAGCCAGUGGUGCUCUAUUGUCAUCCUUUUGGGAUAAGGAGAUUUUUUUACUUAGAAAAAUCUCUGAAAUCAAAUAUUAGAGGAGAAGCAAAAGUCAUACAAAAAAAACUAAUAAGAGAAAGGAGAGAAUCGCAGCUCCUGGUAAGUUCCCUGGGAUAUAGCUGGUUGCCUUAAGCUCCAGGCCAUGACCAUCUAGAAACGGGGAACCGAGACUCCAUCCACAUCCGCGUAUCCCGAACCAUGAGCCCAUUAAUCAUGUGUGGCUUUUGUAAUAGAAGAGUGUAAUUAGUUCUGUUUCUCUGAACAAGCUAGAGAAUUUCGACCUGCCUUGUGGGAUGAACUGCUUUGUGGAAAAGGCCAGCAAGUCCGUCAGAUUAGCACCUAGAAUAAAACAGCCUUGGUGAGGGGCUGGGAGACGUGGGUGGGAGACACCGCAGAGCUCUCCACUCCAGCGAGUUCCAGGGCUGUGGUGCUGGGCCUCCUAUUCUCCCCCCACCCCCAUUGGUAAUUUGCAGCCACGUCUCGUCUGUAUUCUUUAAUAUUUAGGUCAGUGAAUUUCAACUUGAAGAUUUGUUGAUUUAAGUGGCCUUGCUUCGGGUAGACUCCAUUUUUGACAGAUUGUACAAUUCACAAACGCUAUGUUUUGAGCAGGGAAGAAGUAGUUGUGUUACAAUUCCUUUGAAUGACGAGAAUUGGCUGCAUCUAUCAUGGCUCUAAUAAUAGGGAAAGCGCUACACGUGUUCCCAUUGAGUCUGAAUCUAAUGCCGUUCAUUUACUAUGCAGUACUUUCCGCAUUCUAAGGCUCGCGCGAUUCUCUUGAUUUAUAACUUGGUAUAUGUGCUUUCCUCGGGAUAUUUUUUCUUUAUCUUGUAUAUAUAAAUACAGUGCUGUAUUGGAGUCAGCUUUAUUUUACAACCGGGCAAACAUAUUCAUCUGUCCAGGCUUGACAGUACUCAGCAGCUAGCACUGAUAGUGGAAAGUUGGACCUGGUAGGUAUGAUGUUCUUGCUUUGUCUUAUGAUGUGUCUACAGAUGGGGACAGGGGGACAGGGUGGCUGAGGGUAUGGGUUUGUGGAAAGUGAAGGGUUUGUCAAACAGAAUCACAAGCUCCAAGGCUUCUGUGUCUACAGUGGGGUGCAGGUGAGACCAUGUGUGGUAGUUGGGGUGCUUGAGAAAAUACAUCCAUGCUGUGUCCUGGCAGCAGCUGCUGUUCGUUCAGCCUUAUGUUCUAGAUCCCACACAGAAAGAGACUGCCAUAUCCAGGGAUCCAUCCCAUAAUUAGCCUCCAAACGAUGACACCAUUGUAUACACUAGCAAGCGUUUGUUGCAAGGACCGUGAUAUAGCUGUCUCUUGGGAGACCAUGCCGGGGGGCCUAGCAAACACAGAAGUGGAUGCUCACAGUCAACUAUUGGAUGGAUCACAGGGCCCCCAAUGGAGGAGCUAGAGAAAGUAUCCAAGGAGCUAAAGAGAUCUGCAACCCUGUAGGUGGAACAACAUUAUGAACUAACCAGUACCCCGGAGCUCUUGACUCUAGCUGCAUAUGUAUCAAAAGAUGGCCUAGUCGGCCAUCACUGGAAAGAGAUGCCCAUUGGACAGGCAAACUUUAUAUGCCCCAGUACAGGGGAACGCCAGGGCCAAAAAAUGGGAAUGGAUGGGUGGGGGGGGGACUUUUGGGAUAGCAUUGGAAAUGUAAUUGAGGAAAAUACGUUAAAAAAAAAAAAGAAAAAGAAAUGCUAGUGAAGAGCUUUGGUAUAUGGUGUCCAGGUGCUCCGGCUACAGCCUAGGGAGUGAUUUCAGGGAAUAUUCUGAUUGUUCACUGUAGGGAAUUAAUUGGGACACAAAAGGCUACAAAGGAUUACAGUUGUGUAGGUCAAAUGACACAGACUCUGUACUGCUGGCCUGCGGGUCUCCCAUGAGACAUUGUCUUGUAUUUAUGGCCGCCUCCUUUCAUGUAUAUUGAUGUCCCAACCCUGUCCACUCCUGGAGCCCGUGGAAGAGAAUUUAGGUAGUUCCCAAGCUCUCAGGGUAAUUUAUGUGGGAAACUCUAGUGAAGAAUUGGUUCUCUGAAGGCAAAGAGCUGAGCUGAGUAAAACCUAGAUAUUCAGAAGUCAUGGCAGACAGUCGGGUAGGAAGAGAGCUGGGAUGCAGAAGUGGAGAGAGAGGAGGCAGCAAGGUUAGCCAGGAAGCAUUUUACAGACGCACAGGCUCAGCAUCAGUGUGUAGUGAUGGGAGGUGGGGGGGGGUGUGUGUGUCCAGGAAUAUGUGAAGCCUGAUUUCUACUCUUUAUGGCAGAGACGCUGGAUGCAAUACAGGGCGCUGGGCUUCAGCUGGCUGAGCUGUGAUCACCUAGCAUCUAGCAUGCAGAAGCCCUAAGUUGGAUCCUCGGCACCACAUAACUUGGGGGUGUGAUAUACACCCUCAGUCUCAGUGUCUGAGCAGUGGAAGCAAGAAGGCUAGAAGUUCAAUACCAGGACCCAUGUUCUGAUCCCAGCACGGUCACUCUCAACUGCCUGUGAGAAUACUUCUGAGGGACCUGUUGCCUUCUUCUGAGUCCUGUAUGUACCCCCACACAUGUGGCAUGCACACACAUGGACCCCAAUAAAAAUAAAUCUUCCCCAUACAGGGGUUUUGAGACUAGCUUGGGCUAUGCUACAUCCUACCAAAAUAAAAUAAAUGUGAAUGUCAAGGAAAUAAUUUUUAGGUAUAAGGGAGGAUAAAAUACAGAAUGGGGCAACCUUUUACUAAAGCAUUCUUUACUGCUUAUAUAAAAUUCAAAGAAAAGCUAAUAUGUUACAAUUGUGUUUGCUAAAUCUGACAGCCAUAUACCAGGAGACUGGGCAAAAUUCAUUCCAUAUUAGAAUUAUCUACAAUCUACUAGUCAGAGAACAGGAAAAAAAGAUGCAGUGAACUCGCUCUGUGCCACUUGGAUUGUCAAAUGUACACAUCGUCUCAUGUCCUAUCUGAACUUACCCAUGUUCUUCAGGAGUAGCAUGGUUGCAGGUGGGAUAGUAGUCCAGGCUAGACCCGUGCAGAGCUAAGGUGGAGCGUCACAGGAAAAUAUAGUCCAAGGGUUUGUAAUUAGCUGAAGCUUCUCCGAAGGGAGAGGGCGCAUGUUUGAGGAUGCUUUUGAGGUGGACAGGAAUGUUUGAGCAGACAUGUUAGUAGACAUGCAAUGGUGGGAAAUGACUAUAUGUAUGGUAGCUGCCAUUCUUCUUACUGUUUAGUAAGGAAUUCGAUGGCAGUGUAGAAGAACAUGGUUAACUCCUAACAUUGUAUGUCUCACAGACCUGGCCUAUUUCGACACUAUGUGGCACCACUCUGCAUGCUAGGUAUUCAUUAUAUGCAGUAUCAUUGUGUGCUCUCUAGUUUUCUAAUUUAUUAUAACCCACAGAGCUGUGGUCUGAAGACAAAAAGAACUUCAUGGCAUAAAAUCAUCUUUCCCGAAAGGUUCCAGACUAGUUCAGCGUGCCGCUAAGGAUGGGAAAGAUAAAGGGAAAUACAAGCUAUAAACAGGUGAUGUUAUUCAUUGCUUGUUUCUUCAUCAUAGCAUCGAUUUUGAGACAAAGAAAAGAAAGACAUCUUUGAGCCUCAGAAUCCAUAAGAACAGUGGGGAGGAGGGACAGAACCUUGGGGACUCGGCAGUGAGAGCAGAUAAAAAGUGUAGGUGGCAGAGGCUGGAAGUCACGUGACCAGGCGAGUGGCUUCUCCAUGUAGCAGGUGCGAGCAUCUGACGUUCUCAGAUGUGUUCCAUGGUACCAAAAAGCAACAGCUACUGAGAGUGCAUGUCCCGACACGGGUUCCACCAUUUUCCUUUUGUAUUCUGCUCGCUCUCACAUGACAGCUCUAUUGCACUUCAUGUCUUAGACUCUCUCCUCCUUUUGCCUCCCAUGUCUGUGUUGACUAGAGAGUUCUCUGCUGUUUUUCCACAUCGCCGGCAAGCAUCCUCUGUCCUUACCUUUAUGACUUCUAGUUGGCUUCGGUAUUCACUUUCCUAACCUUAAGUGGGUCUUUUCUUCUUGAGAAUUUUAUACAAGUGUACAGUAUGUUUUGAUUAGAACCAACCGCCACCCAGUUCCCAACCCCCGUCUCUACCAUCUCUACUUUUCUAUCAAUCCCCUUUCCUACUACACCUCUGUGGGAAGCCACAUGUGCCGUUGCUGAGUGGCACUGACUACUGCUGGCCACCAUGCAUAAGAUUGGACAAACAACCAAUGUGUACAUAUGCAGUAAAGUCUUUUGCAAAGACACUGCCUGGCCCAGGCAUGAUAAUGAGGUUCUGUAAGGUACUGAGAGUAUAACCAAUCAGAUGUGAGACAUGCAAAUGAUGCAUGAUAAUGAGGUUCUGUAAGGUACUAAGAGAGUCACCAAUUGGAUGUGAGACAUGCAAAUGAGGUAUGAUAAUGAGGCUCUGUGAGGUACUGAGAGAGAGUAGCCAAUCAGAUGAGGAACAUGUAAAUGAGGCUUAGUGCAUAACCAAUCCGGGUAUGAGACACGCCUCUCCUAGGCCUAUAAAAGCAGCACCAGUUCUGGGCUCGAGGUCUUUUCGCCUCUGCAAUCAAGCUCUCCCAAUAAACGUGUGCAGAAGGAUCCUGUUGCAGCGUCGUUCUUGCUGGUCGAGUCCGGUGCGUGCAAGACACCUCCCUCAUGAUUAUAUGUAUUCCACUGUCAGAGUUUAGUUGUUGCAACCAGUAUCUGCCUGGGUAUAGAGCCAUCUACUCGAGCAUACAGGCUGAUUCCAUGAAGAAAAUGUCCCUCCCCUAACACCCAUCAACAGACAAUAUCUCCUCAGCAUGGAGUGGGGUUCCUUGAGCCCUUUCCCAACCAAUGUCAGUUGGAAUUUUAACUGGCUUGGUCUUAUGUAGGUCUACACAUUAAGCUAUUGGCUUUAUGAGCUCAUGCAUAUGCAAUGGGCCUUUCAUUCUCAGAGAAUAUAAUUUUACAGCAGCUCUACCAACUUCUGGCUCUUAUCCUCUUUCUCUUCCUCCGUGAUAAUCCCUCAGUUUUGGGGAGAGGGAGUGUGAUGUGGAUGUCUCAUUACGAGAUGUACAUUUCAAGUUAUAUCUCAGUUUUGCUUCUAGGUAGCUUGGUAAGAAUCUUCAUUGAACAAACAAACCAAAAGUUUGACUACCAGUUACAUGGAGAAGCAGUAUUAAGUGCUGGCUGCAAGCCUGCUUGGGUCCCUCCUGGCUGUACCUCUCCCUGGUCGCAUGGCCUCAGGGAAGACGUAUAACUUUCCUUCUGGACUUUAACAUACUAAAAGCAAAUUACCUCGAAAAUUGAGCAAGAGAAUCCAAAAUUUGGAUUUUAAUAGAUAAACUAUUAUCCUAUUAUUAUCAUUACUAUUAUUAUUUGUCGCAUUUAGGAUGUGUGGUGUACACAGACAGACAAGAUCUGUACUGUCUUGGGACUGUUUCUUUCUACUGUUCUAAGUGUUAUGAAGAGCCCUAAUGUGAUAGAUAGAGACAGUGGUAUGAACUUGGCGCACCUUUGGGUGGGUAUCAGAAGCCCAAAAUGAGAGUCAUGAAAUGGGGUCAUAGCUUAAGAAAACGAAAUAGCCACACCUGAUAAAAAUGAAUCGCAGCAUGUUUUGACAGUUUGUGGACUUGACCCAGCAAAGAGGGACGCGCCUAUGCUGCAGACAGAGGAGCUAGUGUUAUCAGCAGGGACUCUGACAUAAAGGAGCUGGCCUUUAUUAGAAUGCGGGCCCCUCUCAUUUCUAAAGGGAGAAGGUGACACCAGGCUGGCGGCCGUGGGCUCCUAGCAUGUUGUCUUAUUUUCCCUUUGAAGAAUAAGGUAAUGUCUAUCAAGAUUAGGAAGGGGUUGGCUGGGAGCUGGGGAAUGCUAGCUUGAACGUUUGUAGGGAGGAAUGACUGUGUGAAAUGAGUUUGCCGGGCCUCAGCAGUGGGAUCCCCUGCGAUUCGCAGUGCCUGUUUGGGAUUUGCGGUCAUGAAUUUAGAAUGAGGCGAGGCAACCCAGUUGCAUGUCUAAAAUAGCGCUUUCCAGAAAGGUACACUGGCAGUUUAUUUCCUGAGAUGUAUAUGUAACCGAAAUAUAGUCUAGCUUUCAAGGCAGAAAUUCCAAGUUGCCUGUGUAGUGACUUAGUUAAGAAUUCUUAUUAAGCUCUCUGUGCUGGCUUAGACCUGUAAAUGCCAAAACAAGCCGUCCUCCCCACUGAUUAACAUUAGCCCCCCUCCCCAACCCCCCAAACCAAUUAUUCCUAGGAAAGACUUCACGCUUUAGCCUUUUCAGCAGAACCUUCUGGAGGAAUCCAAAGGUUCCGUACCUCCUGUCCAGCGCAGAAGGCAGCGGCCAUUUCUGGGUUUUCAUCUCUUGAACAGUAGUAGCUAGUGCCUUGUAGCUAAUGCCUCUGAGAACGGAAAGUUUCCUGUGACCCGCUUUGCUUUGUUUAAAGCGCCACAUACGGCUGGUAGCUAUGAUUUUGUACAACACAGUUGUAGUCACUGCCUUCUCGCCUUGCGGACAUUUGUGACUGCAGAAGAAGAAUCCAAACCUAAUCCUUUUUGGUGUUAGAAAUCUGAAAUUUGCAAGUUGUGGAAACGGCUAUGGGAUUUGGUUUUCAAACAGACUUGUUCAACACUUGGCAGUCACUAGACUUUUCCUCAGGUUUUUGGGAGGUGUCUACUAACGUAGUAGCUCUCUUUUGGAACUUCUGAGAUUGACAAAAACAAGCGUUCAGAAGCCAUGCAGUGGGUUUGUAGCUCCAUCCUGGAGACUGUCAAUUGUGUGGUCAUUGGAAAAUGCCUACGCAGUGUGCGGUGCAUGGUAACUUGCUCUUUCCCUCCUACGCUGGGUUCAUCUGCCUCAGAUUCCUCCUGGUGGAUGGCUCAUACUCUAGGCAGGACCAUCAGCGCUCUAACAACAAAUAAUGGCUGUCUUCAGGCUUAGCCUUUUCUCGUUUUGUUUUGUUUUGUUUUUUGUUUUGUUUUGUUUUGUUUUGUUUUGUUUUGUUUUGUUUUGUUUUGUUUUGUUUUGUUUUGUUCCUCCCUGCUCCCGAGCAGCUUUUCUCGCUCUUCAUCCUUACUCCAUGUCUUUGGCAAUACAAUGUUUCUUGUUGCUGUCUGCUGCCUUGUUUCCUUUCUCUCCCGCUUUGGCUUUUCAUCUCACUGCCCUUUCUUGUCUGCAGGCUCUCAAGUGGUGGAGACAAUAUGUCCCGGAGUCUUGGCAGGUGCAGCAGAGAUCCAGAUGUGGCAGUAGCUCAUGGCCUGCUGUCAAACAGGCCAAGGAGAGGAUUGGUUUUGAACUCCAGGGAAAUGUCCCUCUGUGCUCCAGCUUUGCUUGAGAAUUCGUUUUUGGAAUUCCUCUCUAUGGAGACCAGUUACUACAUCAUAGCAGCGUUGACAGUCAUUGGCUGGACAGCAGAUGAUGGUGGGCAUCCCUUUGUGGCUUACUGAGCAUUUGCGGAGUUUCUGUGGGAGAACUUCUGCCUAUUUUAAAUCUUAUUUGCCAAUCUAUUACUGAGUUCCAGUAGUCAUUAUUUAAACACAAGUCCCUAACACAUAAAGUGAUAUUUGCAUUUUCACUUAUAGGUUAGAGUUUUAUUUCUGGAAUAUCUACUAUAUGUAUCUCAUUAAUCUAUGCACUCGUCUUUAAAUCAGAACCAUAUUGACAUGAUUGUUGUAACCAUGUCUUUAAUUUUGAAAUAAAAGUUGUAUUCUGUUAAGCUUGUUCAGUUAUUUUAAAAAAAAAAAAAAAGACCAUUCUGAGUCCUUUGAAUUUCAGAGUAAAUUUUAAGAACAGCUUAAAACAGAACUUAGAUUUUGGUGGAGGGUGUGUGGACACUGUUGAUUUUGGAAUUGUUGCUGUUGUAAUGAUUUUAAACCUUCUGACUUAUGAACGUGGUACACCUUCCUACUUACAUAGGUCUUCUUCCAUUGCAGCAAGGCUUCAUAGUACUCAACAAUAGUUAUGAAAAUUAUUCCUAUGCAAUUUUUCCUUUUCAAAGAUACUAUAAAUUGAAUUAUAUCUAAAAAAAUAUGAACAUAAAUUGAUUUCUGGGUAUUUAUCUUGUACAUUGUCACCCGGUCGAGCUCAUUCAUUCAUUUGAAUAUUUUCUAAAAAACAAAAAUUUCAGGAUUUUUUGUAUGUAAGACUGUUUCAUAUGUAAGACUGUAAACAUGGGACUUUCACUUUUCCAAUAUAGGGGCCUUUUAUUGCUUCUGCUGCUUACUCUGGUUAAAGCCUGCAGUGCAGUGGUGGAUGGAAUGGGUGAGAGCGGGCGCCAUUGUCUUUCUUGUUCCUCAUCCUUCAGAGAAAGAAUGCAAGUUUCACUGUCAAGUGUGGCUAGUUACAGGUUUUCCUUAAGCAUGCUGUUUUCUUUUUCUUUUUCUUUCUUUCUUUUUUUUUUUUUUUUUUGGUUGAGAAUUUUUUUCUUUUUUUCUUUUUUUUUAAUAACAACUUCAAUGAAUUUGUUAAACCAUGAGAGAUAUUUCCUAUUGUUAAGUGGCUUUCUGUUUCUAUUGAGAUCAUGAUGCGACGUAGUCCAUUGUUCUGUUGAUAUGGUAUGUUAGAGUCAUUGACUUUCAGAUACUGAAUCGACCUUGCAUUCUGAAGAUAAUUCCCAUGUUACUGUCACAUAGUCUUUUAAAAAUUAUGCUUUUAGAACAUGUUUGUCCGUGUUCCGUUGAAGGUUUUUGCUUUGUAUACUCUUGAGAGAUAUCAGCCUAUAAUUUGUCUACACUCCUGAUUUUUUAGUUGUGUGCUUCUCAAAUUAUCUCCAUCCUGGCCUCAGAGAGUGUGCUCUUAAGUUAUCUGUUUUUGAGUAACUUUUGCACUGCAUUCGCACUAACUUUCUCUAAUGUUAUGAAUCCAGUUUCCCAGUUUGGGGGGUUCAUCCAGGUUUCCGAUUCCUUAUUGGACUGAUUUUGAUGGUUUGCAUCUCUACGUGUUACUUACCGUCAGCACGACACAAGCUAGAGUCACGUAGGCAUUGAAGAAUUGAUAAGGUACGGUGGAUUCAUUGACUUUUAGAUAUUGUGUAAACCUUGCAUAACUGGGAUAAUUCUAUUUGAUUGAUAUAUAUAAUCUUUCACAAAGUAUGUUUUUAGAAUGUGUUUGUCGGUUGAGGAAUUGCUUCUGUCACAUGGGCCUGUGGAUAUGUCCCUGGGUUCACUUUGUUGAUUAAUGAUUGAUGCGGGGUGGCCACGCCCACUGUUGGCAGGUGGCCCUGAGCUGUAUAAGGAAGCAGGCCUGUCAAGCCAUGGGGUCAAGCUAUGGAAUCCUUUUAUACUCUUUUUAGUUCUUAUCCAGCUGAGUAGUGUCUCCCUUUCAGUGUUGAGCUUAGUAACUUGAAUCCUCUUUUAUGUACCCUGUUGGUCAACCAUUAAAAAUUUAUAUAAUUUUGUAGACAUUUUCAAAGAUCUAAUCUUCUUGUUGUUUUUUUUCUCUCACUUCUUUCUGUUCUAAUAUUUAUCUUCCCCUUCUGUUUGCUGCAGGUUUGCUUUACUCUGUCUUUCUCAGUGUCUUUAGAGAGGGUAGCUCAUUGCCCUGGGGGUUCCUUGAGAUUGGCAUGUUUAGCUAGAGACUUCCUGUAAGGACUACUUUUGUUGCAUCUCACCAAAUUGUCUGUGUUUUAUUUCAUUUUCAGUCAUUUUGCUUAUUACUGGUGUUCCUGUGAUCCCUUUAUUCCUUUCAUUUUAUCCAUUUACUAUUGUAUUCAUUAUUAAAUUAUAUUAUAUGAUGUUUUAAUGUUAUUUAUAUAAUGGAAUAUAUUAUAGAUAUAUAAUAUAUACUAUGCAAUUAUAUAAAUCAUUUAUAUAUAAUAUAAUUGCAUUAUUAUAUAUAAUUAUAUUAGUAAUGUAUAUUUAUUAUAUUAUAUAUUGUAUUAAUACAUAAUAUAGUUAUAUAUUAACAAUAUAUGAUAUAAUAUAAUAUAAUGUUAUAUUACAGAAUGUACUAUAUAAUAUGUAAUAUUAAAUAAUAAUGUAACAAUAUUAUUAUAUAUUAUUGUAAAGUAUAUUCAUUAAUAUCCCUUAAUCAAGUUUUAUUUGGAAAUGUAUUCCUUAAAUUUCUGCAUAAUUGUGAAACUUUUAGAUUUCUUUUUGCUACUCAUAUCUAGUUUUAUUUCAUUCUUCUCAUAAGACAGACUUUGUCCAUCAGCAGUUCCUUUAGAUACAUACUUAGGCUUGUUUGAUGGCUUACUAUGGGAUCUAUCCAAGGAAUGAACCCUGCUCACUUGAGAAGGUUGUACUCUGCUUUCUGUGUGCUGGAGAGCCCUGCAUGUCAGGCUUAGGUUUAUAACAAACGUCUAGUCUUAAAUUUUUGUUGUCUAAGAGCAGAUUUACCAAGAAGUUUAAUCUGUAUUUGUUGGCAUUUCUAGAGUUCUAAAGGAGCCGACUGCCUGUUUCAUUGUCCUCAGAAUAGCUGCCUACCCAAACGCAAAGGAUUUAUAUCAAAAACAAGUCCAGAAACUGAAGAGGUGGCUCAGUAGAUAAAGUACAUACUAUGUAACUGUCAGGACUAGCGUUUGAACUCAUAGACCUCAGGUAGAAGCCUGGCAGGGGUGGCCUUUUCUAGCCUCUGUAUUGCUAGCGCUUGGGGGAGAGGGCUGCCUGGGGCAGGCUGGUGACCCAGACUAACCAAACUGCUGACCUCCAGCCUCAGCAAGAGACUCUGUCUCAGGAAAUCAGUGGUGAAUGUUUAUGAGGAGGACAUAGGCUGUCAGACUGAGGCAAACAUAUGUACAAUAUAUGCACAUGCACAGUAAUAGACAUGCAUACCACAGACAUAUAUGUACGGAAAAUAAAAGAUUAAAAAUUUUUAGUACUCCUUAGUAUUAUUGUCUUAGAGAUCUGGGUCUCACAUGUCUAAGGUGUGGGCCUCAAACACAGCCUGACUGUUUAUGUUCUUAUACUGAAUUGUCUUAAAACCAAUAUUGGUUCCCAGGCACCCAUAGAACAUGUUCACAGAUUGAGAAGAAACCCACAGAUUCCAAUGAGUGUGGAUCCUGCACGUGUCCCUGGUUGUCCUCCUUAGCUUUGGCUGUCCUUCAAGAGGACAGAAUUUAAGAUCCAACGCAUGCAGACUGUGGCCGCAUCUUCACACAUGUAAAUUUGAAGACAGAAGCAUUUGAACAGUUUGUUGAAAUUUCUGUCCUUUAAAGUCAGUUUUGGGUGGCAUGGGGCUAGAUCCUGUGUUGUCAAAGCGUGUUCUCUUCCAUGAAACCACUGUAACUGAGGCUAACAUCUCUCAUUAGUAUUGUAAACUGGGAUUUAAAUUGAGACGGUCUCUGGUUCGAUGCACCUUGGAGAACUCAAGAAUUGUUGUGUUUGACAAAUAAUAGGACUCUCAUUGACACGGUUACUAUCGAUUAAAAUAUGCUUAUAUUACUAAGUAUAUUGCGGGGUGGGCUGAAUUUUUCUGUACUGCAUUAAAGAUCGGUUGGGCUUUAGUCCAAGAAUGUUAUUAAUAAACCAUUUAGCUUUCACAACGUGAAUUUGUGAAUGCCCUUCCCAUUGUUGAAAAAACUGGUUUGUCCAACUUAUUGUCUUGUGCUCUUUUGCUCAGAAACGAUGAUUACUCGGUGACAUAACUUCUUUAUAAAUAAACUUUUUUAUGAAUUGUUUUUAUUUUACUGUUACCCUUCAAAUUAUUAUAUAUGACCACUCGAUUGUAUAAGCACUCAGCUCUGUGGGAGAAAUAUUUCUUGUCCCCACCCUGUGUGACAAUGCAUUCUUUCUCAUUUGCAAAAAGGUCGCGUCUCUAAUUGUCACUAAUGGAUCAUUUCCAUUAGAGACUUUUUGUUGAGGCCACAUACCCGACGUUAGAAUCUGAUUAACCAUUAGGAUAGUUUGUCUUUUAGGGAUCCUGUCUCGAGGGCUGUUUAAUGUUAUAUUUAGACACACGUGUGUGCGGUAGAAAAGCCAGACAUUGUGAUUUUUCACUCUCGGCCUGCUCACGUUAGUGGGUGAUCUUGAUUGAGCAAUCACGCAGUUUCCCUGGGUUCUGGUAGGUAUCAUGCAGAGUGGUAGUGUGUCCUUCUGCAGGUGGUCACGAGUGUUAAAGAUCUGCAUGGCUGUAAAGCACCUAGUAAGUGCCUGGGCCACAGAACACUUCUCAGUACUCAGGACUCUUGUCAUUCCUGUCUUUCUAAGCGGCCGGUGAGCUCUGCUUCGUUCUUUUCCUUUAUUAGGACUACUAAUUAAACAUGGUACCCAGUUACAUGCUCAGCUUUGAGAUUUCUUUUUUAACAUUGGUUUUAUAUGAAUUACAUCUGUGUUCUACACACCUGACCUAGGCCUCCAAUGUAGUCAGAACACUUUCCCCUCAAAACAACUGUAACUCAGCUAUAACCACAUCAACAAAAAUUCCCAACUUCCCUAAGUUUAGGACUGUUAAACAUUUUAGGCAGUUAUUGCAUUUAUUCUUGUUCUGACCUUGCCUAUUAAAGAGUUAUAUUUAAUAUGUUGCUACUGUGGGGGGAUGCUAAAACUAGCAUUAUUAUUUAUCUGCAUCCCAUGUAACCUUAGAAAUAAAUAUAACUCUGCAAAUGCGCUUUGUUUUCCCCCUUAGAGCGUAUGUUUGCUUUUAAAUCCCUUACACCUUUCUUCCCGGCCUCCGUCUCUGAAGCGGUCAAUAGAGCUGACGACGUUCAUUCCUUCACUUGCAGCUCAGAUUCCAUUAAAGGCCUCGGUGCUGCCGGCCUGAUGGCGUUUGAGCCAGGGACUCCAUUCCCCACUAACAACUAAUAUCAUCCAUUAGUUUCUUCCUUACAGAGUGACAGUGUUUACGGGGCUUCCAGAGCCAGUUUUGGAGCUUAACGUUGGAACGUUGUAAAUUAAUCUACCAUAUUUGGCUUUAAAAAUAGCCUCUAAGAAUGAGAUAAAGCUUUUCUGUUUAAUGAUGAUUAAUAGCUUAUUUGGAUGUAUUCAUCAGAGGAGCCGAAGAUAAUUUUGUCAUCAGGCCACUUGUCUAAGGGCACAAACAGAUGGGUCCUGCUCCAAAUCCUGGAGGCAAACAGAGCAGCUGCCCCUUUAAUUGCUUGGGGAAGAAGUUGUGCACAGGCAUGUCUCCCUCCAAAGGACACUCUGAUUGUCACUGUGACAACUUUCAGAUGAAACGUCAUUACGAAGGUUCAGUGAAGUCUUCCUGGACUGUACUGACGCUAUCUACUUCGAGGAAGAACCAAGACAAAUUUCUGGUGAAUGUGGGGCUGAAGUCGUAGCCGAUUUACACAGAGAGUCCCACUAUCUCCUAUGGCCUUAUAAUCUUGUAAUGUGUUUAUGGGACAAAUAAUGUCUGUCUUAGGGACUGGUUGUCAAGAUGGCACGGUGAGCUGGUCCAUAGCAGGCACAUGGUAAUGAGGAUGCGAUUUAGUCUCUAGAACGAUGUGUAGCUGCGAUCGCCGCUUUGCUCGCUGUUGUAUUAAGUUCAUAAAGAUAACCAUGGUUAACUCGUGCUCAUGAACCCAGCACCUUCCAUGGCAAGCAAAGCCAGUCAGUCUCUCCUUCUCGAGAGCCUAGCACGAAGCAUUUAGCUGACGAUCUCUCAAGUAAUUGGAUAAAUCAACGGAUCAUAUAUUCUAUCAAUGUCUGGACCAAUAAUCUAAAAAUUCCCAAAACCUCGAUCAAAAUCUCAACCAGAUAUUAUUCUAAAAUACAAAUUCGGAAGCCUCAGAGACGUGAUCCAGCACUUUGUACACAGUGAGCGCUUGCAAGUAUUUGCUUAUUUAUUUAUUGGUUGAAGAAGUAAGCGGCACAUUUAGAUUACAAGAAAAAUUGACUUUCUACAUUACAUUGCACCAUUGAAAAGGAUUAUUGUUUGGAGUUUUUUUCUUAAUUACUUAUUGAUUUGAAGGAUGUGCGAUUGGAAGAGGCUGGUAGAUUUUUCUACUCCUCACCUUUAGUUUCAUAAGUGAGGAUACAGCAGCUCUGUGGGGUGAAAUGACUGGACCAAAGGAAGCAAGGUAAUAAGUGAGGUGAGGCUAGACCUUAGCCUAGGCUGAUGACGGCAUACAGGAAGUUCAUCCCAGGGCUUUCCCAGGUCAUAUCCAUCAGUGCUGUCCAAAACAAGGUGGUGGGUGGGACUUGGAGGGAGAAGGGGAGUUUCCAAGAAAUGUCUUCUUAAAGGAAACAAACAAACUUCCUAUGAAGGACAGGCAUCAUCUAUGCUGAUCUUCAGUGUGCCGAUGAGGCAGAGAAUGAAAUAGCUCUAUUCCUAGGCCAGGCCUCGAGACUUAGGAUGUUGUUAGUGAGAUAUCAGUCCCACAAGCUGUUAAACGGUCCAGGCUGAAGGUAAUGCCCGUUUCCAUAAGCGGAGGGACUGCACAGGUGUGUGAUCAUGUCGGUAUGGGUAGAUUCUUCUUUCAGGCAGCUCUGUGUGAUGGAGACCCAGCCCCACACGAGAGCCUGCAUGUACGACAGGCGGUUGGUGUUGUACUGUGGCUGAGACUUGGACACAGGUGAGAAAUACAUUGACAAGAAGCUGGAGGUCUGGAGAAGAGCCUAUCAGAAGAGGGAGGCAAGCUGGGACUUUACUGUCUCACGUCGUUGUGUCUUGAAGAUUGCUCCCAUUCACCACUCUCAUUCACCUCCACUCAGCGAUUAACUGAGUAAGUUACAGACACAAACUGUUCUAAGUGUUAGAGCUCCUGGGAAGAACAGUAACUUCUGUCUGCGCUGCGCCUUCAUUCUCCUGGGGGAGGAAUUCAAUUAUCGUUUCUUCUCACCUGUUCCUUUGAUCUACUGAUUUCCUCAUUCCUACUUCCCACUCUCAUCUAGAAAUACCCAGCGACUCGACUCCGUUAUUAGGUGUUUCACCUUCUCUGACCUAUGUUAAGUUCUAUUUUGUAAGCCAACAUGUGUCUUCUUUACUUGCCCAGCAGACACUAAGCGGCAGAAACCCCCGUGCAGUCUUCUUGCCUCUAUGUGGCCUUUCAUGGAGUUCCCAUUUGCAAUUUUUAAUGCCUUCAGAUAAUUUUCACACAAGAUUUUUUUUUUUUGUCAGAGUCACUGUAACAAUUGGACUUUGGGUGUCAGUUAAGAUGGAGCAUAGAAACCAAGGUUUGGGUUAAGUGACCUCUUAAGAUCAAGUCAGUUAGGAAAAGGGUGUGGCAGCUUGAGUAGGGUCUCCAGGUGAGACUGACGAUGGUGGAGAAAAGCAUGCAGCCUAUUUACAAAGACCACCCUGGAUUGUAGACGCUGGGGAUGCUGAGGGCUUGUCCUCAGAAAGACAUCAACGUCUGUUGCUGACUAGUGACCGGAUGUACAGGAAUUACUAUGAUGGAGUUGUUUUCUCAGGUCCUCAGCAAAGGGUCUACAAAUGACGUGCCAUCUUGGCGAAGUGAAACAAGAUUUUGAUUUACGGUGCUUUUUUUUAGGGCGAGAUGAAAUGUUUCAGAGGUAGUAGGUGUUGCUGAAAAUGACAUUUUAUCUUUGAAAGCCUGAAUGGCAGCGCUCAUUUUUCUCCUUUAACGUGAUGAUGGAAAAAUCUAAUCUUUAACAAUCUCAGCCCUUAUUUCCCUAACUGUUCCCAUUAGAAAGGUGAUUUGGCCUCACUUUGGAGUCCUAGGAGGUUGAAAUUGAAUCAGAUACAAUGACAUUAUAAAUCAAAAUGUCUUUGAAUCCUGUAAUAGAAGACAUUUAUGUAGUGCAUAUUUUAUUCUUAAAAUAACUCACAAGAUAGUUAAUUAUAGUAGAAUAAUGUUGACAUUAUUUUAUUUGUUUUGUUGGAUCCAUUAUUCUUAGAUGUUGGAAUGCUCUCAUUGUCUUCUUUUGAUGUCAUAUUCUCCAGAAUAGGCUGCCUUAGUAGAUUGCAUAUUAUAACACGCUCUCUUUAUAAUAUAGCACAGACACCCUUACCCUCAAGGAUGUAUUUGAUGUCUUUUCCCUUGGAAUCUGGGUUAUGUGACCCAGAGUUGAAAGCGAUAGGUUUUGGUUCUGAAGCUACAUCAUAGAGUUGCCAUGUCCGUCCUUCCUUCUUCUCCUGGGGGGUUUGCUCUUGGAAGCCACGCAGCUAGCUGUGAGCAAGCAUGUAGGUAGACUGCCUUGCUGCCCAAACAAGGUCCAGCCUGACAGCUAGCAUCAACGUAGGGGUUGCUGAGAGGUUGAUAGCCUUCAGGCCCAGAGUGAACCCACUACCAGCUUCUCAGCCGUUUCAGCUGACAUUAGGUGAGUCAGAGAGCAGUUUUGUUCAGAUUGACCAAACCCCCCCCCCCAAAAAAAAAAAUCAUCCUUUUAAUUCUUUGAGUUUGGAGUAGUUUCUUUCAUGGCAGAAGACAAGGAGAGGAAGCUGCUAGCAUAUUUUUGACAUUAAUCUGCCAUAUGAAUGAUGCUUUAAAGAGGAGCUACAUAUUUAGUUUGUCCACACUAAAGAACGAGAUCUUGACUGAAUUUCACAGCUGAAUGAAGACCACGACCCCCCCCCCCUUGUUGGAUGCUAGCUUCCAGAUGAACAUUUAGGGGGUGAUUAAGGGAGACUAUAUAGCUCUGUCCCACAUUAGUUGGUGGACAAGUUACUUAGUCUCCUCAUCCAUAGAAUGGGUAUAAUACUAAUACCCUUAACUUAGAGUUUUGAAGGUCAAGUACAUGCAACCAUCUUAGAACAGUAUUGGGACAAGCCAAGCAAGAGAUGGAUGAUGGACAUUGUUAGUAGCAACAGAAUCCUGGUGCUUUAUGGAUGUGCUUCAAGGAUUUGUCAUGGGUAAAAGAACCCAACCUCAAUAAUGAUUAUUUUAGCUUUCUAUGUGUUCCUAAAAACGACGAAUCAUGCAGCGACCAACCCAUGCAGUUAGAGAGGGCAGGAAAAACCGUGGCUACCAUGUUCUAUUGCUGUUGCUGGUAUUGUUAUAGAGGGCUUGUAUGAGACUGGGACUCACUCUGUGGCCUAGCUUGGCCUCAGGCUUACAGUGAGCCUCUUGCCUCAGACUUGCAAGUACUGGUAUUGUGGGUAUGAGCCAUCAUGCAACGCUUCAGUUCUGUUUCAUUCUGUUUUGUUAUUAGUUUUAUUCAAAAGUGAUUCUGUCCCAGGAUUCUGCUUUUAGGCGUGGCAGUGGUCUAGCCUAGGUGUGGCUGUAUAUGCCACGGACAUGCAGAAAUUAGGAUCUCUAUGAGCUAUCGUACAGGUGUUCUGCCACAUCAUAAAGGAAGACCAAUACUUUCAGUGUAUAUGCUGCUACCACACAGAUUCCAGAAGGACACGGUGAUCUGUAUGCACUUAACCGUUGCCAUCAGAGAGUGGGUGCAAAGUACCAGGUGUGGGGAGGUUAGGAACCCGAGUGGAGCUCUACACGUGCUGCCUAGUGAAUAAGGUAACUCAAGUCUUUGACCCUCUGUUCUCUCAACAAAGUCAUCAAGUCAUUGUCUAAUUUAAACGAGAAAACAAAGCAUAAGAAGAGCAUGUGCUGUGAGCGCUGUCACCUGUCGCUCUACUAUUGCUUUAUGGUGGGGCUAAAACUAGAAUCCAGCUCCUCCCCCCACCCUCAAACCAGCACUUAUUUUCCUUAACACAGUGUGAUAGAGCCCUGAUGUACAAUUCCCGAGGCACACUGUAGAAGCCUAACAUCUAGACGACUGACUUAAAAAAAAAAAAUACCACCAUUUUGAGAAAGCCAUUUCCACAACUAUCUGGGCAAAUGUCAAGGAACCAUGCACAGCAUGCACAGGAAAGAGAUCUACAGCUGUGUUGUUAGAGUAUCUAUGCUAAUGCAACAGCACACACAGAACAAGAUCUACAACUGUGUUGUUAGAGUAUCUAUGCUAAUGCAACACUGAGAUUCUUUUGACUCUGAAAAGCUAUUGUUUUUUUAAGUGGAGGUUUUAUAUUUUGGAUCUGCCUUUGGGUUACACAAAGAUACAUCGAGACCUUAUUACAAAGCAACCAUUUACAUUUUUUUUUUGUAUUGUUACUUUAAGUCUAAAGUACUGUUUUGUAACAGAUAAGAACUGAAGUUUUAAAAUGAAAUUCCUUUAAGUACCUUUGAGUAGGUUGAAUAUUCUGUCUCUAGAUUUCAAGUUAUUGUUAAAGCACAACUGCUAGCUUAAUAUAGUGGUCAUUAUAUAUCUAUUCAGCCUUCAUUCAACACACUUGGUUUGAGUGUCUGCUUGGAUAAGGUACCAAGGAAGUUUCUAUUGGGGAACAGUGGUAAUUCAAAUGGGGUUAGUUUCCCAUCAGUAUCUUCGGAAACACUGAAUGUUAAGGGGGAUUAGAGAGGAAGGGACCACUUCAAGCUUGUAAAUCGGAAAAAGGUCACUCUAGAGCAAAGCCUGCUCCUGAAUAGAGAUUAGGUAUUAACAUUUGAAAGCGAAGUUUGUCUACAGUGUCACCUUCUCUGCUCAGGGCUUGGUUGACAGUGUUGUAUUCAAGACAAGGCCCUUUAAACCAAAAUGCUUAAUCCCCUUGCCUUAGGACAAACAAGAAACACCACAUUUGCAGAUAGGACUCAGCUCUGCGAAAUGUGGGUCCUUUAUAGCCUCACAUGAUAAUCUGACCAGUGCUAAAAAUGGAAGAAUGGAUCAAAGCAGAAAGCUCCCAAGUAGAAACAGGGCAAGCCAGGGAGCCACACUGUCUCCAGGGUGGCUUUCUCACACUUAUUCCAUGGUUGUGAGGAAACUGACUCUGCCCUUAUCUUUGGGUGAGCAGGUAUCCUCUUGUUUUGUUUCCAAAUUUACAAGGAUGCUAACUUCACAGCCGUAAGAAAGAAGUGGGGUAACAUGUACAGCUCCUCAGAGAGGAGCCUGGUGUGUGGUAAACACUCGGCGUAUUUUAGCUCUUACAGUUGUCUGAAGAGUGAUGGAUCCCCAAGAUACCAGUCUCUUACAUUUAGAUGGGAGAGAAGUACAGAACACUUUUUUUUCAAAGGCAAAUUGAUUAACUGCUCACAGCACUUUGUCUCUUCACAGAUAAUGGAGAACAGAACAAAUUCAGUGAACUGUACUAGAUUAGCCUCUUCUUCUGACCCUGCAAUCUGAAGACUUUCUAAAGAAAGGGCAUCGAGGAAGCCAGGCUGGUGCUCUAGACAGUUAGUACAGUGUAUACCUGUUCUCCUGCGUUGCCACAACACAGCAGACAAAGCCUGGGUGCUCAAAGACCGUGGGAAGCUCUUGGUUCACAGUGCCUGAGGCAGAAAUCCCAAGUCAACAUGGUGGCAGGGUUACCUUCCCUCCGAGCCUAUGGUUAGCCUCAUAUGUGCUGCUCUCCUAGCUUCUGGUGUUGCUCACACUGUCUCCUCGGUUACCAGCAUCCCCAUUCCUUCCUCAGUUAUCUGGUACCAUGCUUCUCUUAUGUCUAAAAUUCCCCACAGCAUCUUUACCUCACAAGGAUGGCAGCCAUAUUAGAUUAGGGUAUGCCCUGAUGCCUUCAUCUUAAUCUAAUUAAACAGGUCUGUGAAGACCCUGUUUCGAGAUAAAGUCAUGUUCACAUUACUUAUAUGGUUGCAUAUCUUUUUUUUUUCUUUGUAGAGAAAGAAUUCAUCAUUAAGUGGCUGUCUCUUCAUAAUGAAGCUUAAGGCUUCAGGAGGGGCUAGUAGAUGCUUUGAUGAGUGUGUGUGGUCAGGGCCUGAAGGGCUUUGAGAAGCUUGAGUAGUAGCUAGGGUGGCUGACCUGGCUGCUGAGUUGCUUACACUUCUGAGUGUUAUGGAAUUCCAGGUCAAAGGCAGUUUCACAGUUAUCUAGAUGUAGCAACUCCUGUAAGACAACAGGUGUCUGUCUUUGUUUUGAUUUGUUGCUGUCAGUAGGAGUUCUGUGGCAGGUGAAUGUGUGAAUCCUUAGAUGGAGCUAUGGAGUCAAAGUGCUCAGAAUCUACUAUUGUACUAGGGGUGAGCCAUGCAUUUUCUGUUUGAUUGCUUGGCAUGACUCACACACAAUGUCUCAGUAGGCUCAGUCCAUCACAUAACCUGGAGAGAAGUCCAGACAACGGAAAGCUCAGAGAGCCAGGAUGUUGUUGAGGGUCGACAGCCUGCUCUUCCCUAACCUCUACAGUCUCGAGCCGGGGCUGCGUCAUGGUCCACAACUCUCCCAUCUGUCUCCGUGGAUCCUGAAAGCAGCAGAUAAAAUUUUCAAAGGCUUAGCUGCCUGUAAUUUAAGAAUGAACUUGGUUAGAAGUCAGAUCAAGCAAAGAAAAUGAAAAUGUCAUUGCACAGAGGAAAAUGACCAAGCUGAUGGAAUUGCAGUAUUUUUAAAAAAUAGUAAUUUGUAUCCUCUCUCUGUCCCCAGGGUUAUUUAUUUAUUUAUUUAUUUUUGUCUUUGUGUGUGUUUCUCUCUCUCUCUCUCUCUCUCUCUCUCUCUCUCUCUCUCUCUCUCUCUCUCUCUCUCUAUGUGUGUGUGUGUGUGUGUGUGUGUAUGUCUUAGCCUUUGAAGCAAAUGCUUCUCUUUUUGGGUGUAAUCUAAUAAUGGCUAGUGUUUGAGAGGGAAUAAGGUAGAAACCAAUUUGUAUAAGUGUAGAGGGAACGAUGAAGUUACCACAUGAAGCACUAUCACCUAUACGGUGGCAUUCCUUCUCAGGAACCAUGUGGGUCAUUUGAGAUGUUGCUAGGGGUUACAGAUAGUGAGGGGCAGUGAGCAUAGUGAUGUCCAGUAAUGCAGUUAAAACUAGAUGACGGGAGUUAGGGAGAUGGCUCGGUGGUGAAGCAUUCGUUGUACAAGUGUAAACACCUGAGUUUGGCUCCCCAGAGCUCAUGUUCAUCUUGCACAGGCCUGGCCACCAGUGCAACCCCAAUGUUUAGGAGCAGGGAGAGAGCAUUUCCAGGAUAAGCUGGAUGGCCAGACAAGUCGACUGGUGUGCUCUGGCAUCAUGGAAUCGAUCCUAUCUCAUUAUGUAAGGUGGAGUGUGGGCGAGGAAGUCAUAUAUGUCAACCUAUGAUCUUCAUGUGCGUAUAUGUACUAACGCAUGUGUGCCUCCAUUUAUGUAAACAUGAAUGUGCACAUACAUGCAAAGGGAAAAAAACUAGUUAAACAUCUGUACUCUCUGAUUUUGAUAGAUAUGCAUUAUAAUUUAUAUGCUUUAUAAUGAAUAUAUUACAAUUUAUAAUUCCAAUUGUUCCCAGAUUAAGCAGUAUUUUUUUUCAAGUUACACUGGUAAGUUAAGUAAUAAAGUUUAUCCCUUAUUAUCAUUUUAUGAGUGUAAUGAAUAGCAGGUCCAUCUCCAUCAACACGUCAUUCUACAGGUCAUGAUGUCGGAAUCAGGGUAGUUUAGCUAGUAGCUUACACUGAGCCAGUUUCUUGAUUCAUACUGAAAGUCUGAACUGUAGAAUUUGACAGAAAGAAGAGCCCAAUUGUGGAAGUCGUAAGAGGAAUGGAGGGAAUGUUUACUGCUUGCUCUCUGUUGUAAAGCUUAGGGUAGCCAACUAUUAUUCCCAUGUACAACAACCAAACUAUAAAACAAGCCAGACACAAUGGGAAUAUACACUGUGAUUCUCGGAUCAUGAACUAACCAUCAUCAGAAUUUAGAGAGUCCUAGCAUGCUUUCUUCUAUAUCAUGAUCUUUGCACACAGAAUACCACAUAUAACUUUUAACAGGUUAGCUUUGCAAAGCUCAGGGACUACAGAGAGGGUUCAGCAGGCGUGAGCACUGGCUGCUUGACCACAGGACCAGGUCAAUUCCCUGAGCCUUCAUGGUGACUCACUCAUAACCAUCCAUAACUCCAGUUCCAGGGGAGCCGAUGUUCUCUUCUGGCCACCUCAGGCACCACAGACAUGCGCACAGUCAAAACACACUUUGUGUGUGUGUGUGUGUGUGUGUGUGUGUGUGUGUGUGUGUGUAGUGUAUAUUUAACUUUUUACACUGUAGAUUAGCUUUGUCACACACACACAUAAAACUAUAUAUAUACAUAUAUAUACAUAUAUACAUACAACUUUUAACACUAGAGAUUAGCUUUGAAACAUACACACACACACACACACACACAACAAUAUAUAUAUGUAUAUACAACUUUUUACACUAGAUAAUAGCUUUGAAACAGACACACACACACAUACAUGACAAAGCUAAUCUACAGUCUUAAAAGUUAGAUGUGAUUAUUCUUUGGGCAGAACUCAGGAUUUGAACAGAGGCUAGAACUCUCUGAGUGCUGACCGUGGUGACUUCAUGAUCUGGGAACUGAUGAUUUCUGUGUUUAUUUUUAGAAAAUCUCUCAAACUCUAUACUUAAUAAUCUCUAUAUUUUUCUGCAAUUUUUAUAUUAAAAAGUAAAAACCACUGCAUGGUAGAGUAUAUUGGGGACUUAUAUAUAUAUAUUUUUUUCUUUUUUGUUUUUUUGAGACAGGGUUUCUCUGUGUAGCCCUGGCUGUCCUGGAACUCACUCUGUAGACCAGGCUGGCCUCGAACUCAGAGAUCCGCCUGCCUCUGCCUCCCAAGUGCUGGGAUUAAAGGCAUGUGCCACCAUUGCCCGGCCAUAUGUUUUCUAAAGAUAUUUUUGUCCUAAAGAUUUUACAAUUUUGGAUAGUUACUGAUGUAUGUUACUAAAAUUUAUCUUGAUGUUAUUUAUGGUGGAUGUGGAAAUAUAUUCAUACCCAUAAAAUUAAAAAAAAAAGUAUUUACGCCAAAAUUGCUGAAUGUUUCUCUGGGACCUUGCUUUAAUGUUUCUCAUAAUUAACAACUACUUUUGUUUCUAAAAUUAUAUUUCCCAGUUAUAUUAAUAUAUUCAAAAGCUCUCCCAUGGGCCAGGAUUAACUGUAAUUUAUAUUCGUUUAGAACAUAGAAUUUGUUUAGCAGAUUCCUUAUUUCUUGGCAGCUGUGUUUUUAUCUUUAAAAGUUUUAGGGAUCUGAGAACUGAACAACAACAACAAAAAGAAUAGGUCAGGAGGGGGCAUGCGAAUGGGUCUUAGAGGAUGGAUGUGGCUGUGUCGGUGGGUGUGAUACAGCCUCAGAGGACAAGAACCUAAAUCUACCAUCAUGAGCAGAUGGACAAAGGGGAUGUUCUUUUGGCCACACACCUCACACUUCCUGCUGGCCAUCAGUGUCGAACUCUUGUUGAAUGAAUGGAUUUAGACCAUCCAAUUAGUUGGUGGAGAGAGAAUAUAAAGAGUUUGGAUUUUAUUUAAAUUUUUACCUAUUUAAAUUACUUUAGUGGAGUGCUUCGGGAGGGAUGUGAAAUAGAAGAUAGAGUUAAUAUGCCAUGUUUUCUCUCCCAGCAAGAACUUACUCUCCAGCUAAAUAACCGAAUCUCUGAUAGGUAAAAUAUUUAAGUGAAGAUAUAUAUGUGUGAUGGGGCUGGAGAGAUGGCCCAGCAGUUAAGAGUAUUGGUCCUGAGUUAAAUCCCCAGCAACCACAUGGUGACUCGUAGCCAUCUGAAAUGGCUCCCGAUGCCCUCUUCUGAUGUGUCUAAAGACAGCGACACUGUAAUCACAUCAUAAUGUAAGUAGAUAAAUCUUUAUAAAAAAAAAAGCAUAUGAGUGAGAUCACUGGGAAUGGACGCAUCAGCAACCCUCAUUGUGUAAGAGCACCUCAGACCAGACAUCACUGGCGUCUCUCAUGGGUCACCGGAAUAGCCUCUAACUGGUCUCUCUCUCUUGCUCUUACAGAGAACAUGUGUGUUUGGCUUAUUUACACUCUUAGGACUAACAUUUUGGAUUUCCUGAUGUUCCUCUGUCAUAUUUGAUUUAUUUGUGCAUUCAUUUGUUUGCCAGUCUUGUGAUAAGCACCGCCUCUCUGGUGGGAACCAGCCAAAGAAUGAAAACAUGUGACACCAUCAGUGGUCACAGAUUAUAGGGACAGCUUUCUCUCUCAGCCCGACCCAAAUGAAGAAUAAGUGCUGAUAUCCACUGUUGCUGAAACUUGAUGAGAACCAGCCAGUCGGUAUACUCUUAACCAGCAGCAACUUCAUCGGCUGGAUAUGUGAGUUAAAGCAUCCUACUCCACGACCAGAGACAGCUAUGGGGCCAGUGAGUCUCAAGGUGUUUAAAAUAGGAACACAGAAUUGAAUGCAGAAGUAAGAGUUUGAAUGAGAAAAAAAGAGUCACAUUUUAAAAAGAAUGUUGAUAAAUAGCACAGAUGUCUCGAAUACAUCAUUAAGUGGUAAGCGUAAGUCAGCCUGACUCCAGGGCAGGAUUUCAAGGAGCUGUGCUCUAAUGGCCUCGCAUAGAUUAGUCCUAUACGUCUUUUGACUAUGAAAGACCAAAGUCUGGUUGCAAUCUCUUGCACUCUGCGGUAAAUGUCGUGGUCUAAGCCUCCACGGUGUUUCUCUUGGAUCACUAGGGUAGUCUCUGCCUUGCUAUUGAACAUAAGGUCUGCAUUUGGUUUACAAACAGGUUUUAGUAACAGAUUUUGUGGGCUUCCUGUGAAGUCAUUCCUUAGCUCGUUAGCUCGGUUACUGUUGGGUUGACUUUACAUACCACAGGGCUUUUAUGUUGCUUACUACAGAGAUAGAAGACAGACCGCUGCAUCCUCUGGCAAGGUCUAUGGAUCUUUUUUUCUUUCUUUAUCCUUUAAUUUAAAUUUUUUCUGUUGUGAGAAUUUGGCCUGUAGAUAUAUGUACCUUGAGUUAGAGAUGGUUGUGAGCAUUCAUGUGGGUGCUGGGAACCGAACUCUGGUCCUCUACAUGGAUAGUAAAUGCUCUUAACCUCUGAGCCAUCUCUCCACCCCCAUUUCCCAUAGGAUUUCAAGUCUUAGGUGCCUCAAGGUGGCCUCCAGCUCUAUGGAGAGGACUUCUGAUCAUCUUACCUCCAUCCCCAAGUGCUAGGAUAACAAGCAUUGCUCCCCUCCCCUGCUCCCUCUCCCUCCACCUCCCACUCCUCAGUUUCUGCAGUGUUGGAUUGAGCUCAAGGCUUCUUGUCUAUGAGGCAAACCAUUUUUUUGAAUUAUAUUCCUUCCUCUUUCUUAUGUUAAUGCUUAAGUUAUAUAAAACUCAAACAUUCAUGAGCUGUCUUAUCUGCUGUCCACAGCCCUGCUAUAGAUUGGUUGUGUUUCUUGCUGCAUGUCCUGAUAAUAUCAGAUGUGUGCUCAACAGGGAGAGCUUUCUUUGAGUUUAACCACUGAUGGGAACUGAAUUCUCUACUUACAAAUUUCAGCAUCUGUUGAUUGGAAGAGUUGUUUUGUUUUACAGACUGGCUCUUGACUUUGUAUUUGUCAAAUAUUCUUUCUUCUCCCUUAUCUGUACUCAGUUUCUGGGGCCAGUUUGGCAGGAGGCCUUUUCACUGUGAAAUGACCCUUGAUCCAGCAGGGUGAGGUCGACUCAUGGGCAGUAGAAACAUCUCUGAAUAUUUCUGCUCUGGAACAGUUAUCAAUAAUUGUCCUUGAAAAUGAUCCCAAAGCCAAUAGAUAAAAGGCACUAAAGCAAACCAUGGGGUCACCCUCCGGUCAGUCUGGGCUGCCAGGUGUGGAGGACGCCAGUGCCGGCUUCAUUGCCCCUCAAUGUAAGGGCUGCUGGUUAAAGGAGAGCUGUUGAGGACAGUGGGGACCGUCUGAGGUCUCAUUCUCAUAACUUCUAUAAAAGCCUAUGGUCACUGAACACAGUUUGAGGAUCUGGGUAACAUCAUUCAAGAGGCUUUGAGCAGGUGUAGAGCUCUGAAGUUGGAUUGCUAUCAGGCCCUUAAUACAUGGCCGUGGCCAGCAACUGACCUCUCAGCAGUUCGUCCUAAGAACUGUGCAGUAAAGCCAGCGAUAGAAACACCCAAGCACUUACUGUCUGCCGAACUCUGCUAAGACUUGAUUUUGAUUCUUUUUAAUGAGCAUUCUGAUUGCUUUUGUAAUAAGUGGUUGUCUUUCUCCUUUUGAAAACGCCGCAGAAAGUGGCCUGGGUACAUGCUUAGAAUCUCAGCAGUUGUUGACAAUGAGAAGGAUUAACCAUGAGCUCAAGGCCAGCCUGGGCUGCAUUGUAAGAUUCUAUCUCAUAACAAAACCCAACCCCAAAUGCUGAAGAGCAAUGUCGGCGUUUAUACAAGACGUGUAGUUUAGACAAGUCAGAAAGGUCAUUUUUCUUUAUCUUCUCAGUUCUUUUUGUUCUUAUUCUGAAUAUGUUUAUUAAAUUUAUACACUGACUUUACUUAGUGAACGCUACGUGGUAUUCUAGGUGUUUGAAUCCCUCUGCUCACGAACCUCAUAUUCUUGGUGCGGGACACACUAAACAAGCCAAGAACCAAGGGACAUAAAGUCUACAACGUUUUAGGAAGUCAUAAGCAUUCAGGGAGUCGGUGGGUGAACAGGGGGAAGGUCUGAGCGGGGAGGCUUUUCCGGAUGGGUCUUCCAGGGAGAAGAUGGCAUUGGCUCGAAGGAAUUAGGCAGCUCUGUGGCAGUGUAGCAAUGUGAGCUCUCCUUUGCGUGAGCUUGGAACUACUUGUGCUAUGCUAGGAGGUUGAAAGUUACGUUCCCAUGACCUGAUUGAUAUUUUAAAACUCUCUGGCUAUUGGGUUGAAACCACAAGAAGCUGGGUUGGGAUAGGGAGAUGGGCUACCAGGUAUCCUAGCUCUCGGUGCUGGGCAAUAGGAAUGUGGAGGCUCUGUGUUCCUCUCUAAUAGCUGCGUAGAUAACUGGCUGGGGAAUACCAAGGCAGUGUAGCUCAGUUAUCAGGGGCUCAUUCUCACUAGACUGACGCCAGGUUCUACUGCUCGUGCUAGGGAAUGCGGACUUAGAAGAAUUUCUGUUCCUGUCUUACUUCUUUCUUUAGAACUGGGAAACUCAAAAGUUUCAAAGUUUAUUCAGAAAGACUUGAGUAGCAAGGACGUGGGUUGAAAAGUUGAUCUUUUAAAAUUAUUUAUUUAUUUAUUUUAUUUUUCGAGACAGGGUUUCUCUGUAUAUUCCUGGCUGUCCUGGAACUCACUCUAUUGACCAGGCUGGCCUCGAACUCAGAAAUCCUCCUGCCUCUGCCUCCCGAGUGCUGGGAUUAAAGGAGUGCGCCAACACGCCUGGCUUUAUCUUUUUUUUCUUGUUAAUUGUUUUAUAAAGUAACAUUGUACCUUUGGGUAAUUAUGUGAAGGUGGACUAUUGUUUCUUGAGAAUAUAUAAGUAUAUAUGUAUAUAUGUGUGUGUGUGUGUGUGUGUAGUAGGCAUAGCUGUGGAUAUUUAAUGUUGAAAAAGAGAAAUAAAUAGAUAGACUAGGAGUAGAUUAGAGUGUUAUAAAACCCUGGAAUUUAGAAAACUUGAGCACUGAAUAUUCAGUAUGCCUAGGGGUCUUCUCUUGCAAUUUUAAUGCUUGAAUUACAUUAAGAUGUAUUAGGAGAAGCCACAACUAUCAAACGGCUUUUGCUUGAUGUAUGUACUCUUGGAAAAGGCAAUAUAGCGCCUGCAAAUUCGCUUUCAUGUAGGGUCCAACCUGGCCCCUUGUUGACAGCGCUGGAAUGAAUUGUCAUUUAAGGUAACAGAAUUACCCUUCCUGGAGUUCUUUAAAGAGCGGAUGAAGUGGCACCGGCUGUGCUGAGAUGUUUUGAUUUAGGCCAGUGGAGGUCAGACUACUUGACAGCACACAUCCUUUGAUUUAGUAAGAUGAAUUUGUUCACUGUUCUUUAAAAUAUAUAUCCUUCUCCGUGGAGACAGCAGGAUCCGAAGCAGGGGAGUUCCAAAUGGUGGAAAUGACAGAAGGAAAGGAUUUUGAAGGACAUUUCCUCUUCCUCUUCUUCCUCCCCUUCUUCCCUUUCUUCUCCUUCUUCCCCUUCCUCCCCUUCUUCUCCCUCCUCCUCUUCUUUUUUUAUUUUCCUUUGAGCUGUCAUGUCAAAGGAGAAAACAACUAAGGGGAAGGAAAAAAACUCUACCUUAAAUCUACCCUAAAUAAUGUACACAGUAUAUAUAUAUAUAUAUAUAUAUAUAUAUAUAUAUAUAUAUAUAAUUUUACUUUUGAUGUAAGGGAGAUUUUGUGCAGGCAUAUAUAUCUAUACAGAUAUAUUAAGACUUUUUCAGGAUAGUUAGACUGGAAAGAACAUUACCAUAGGAUGCUCAGGUCAGGCUAAAUUAAGUUACUGUGUUCAGAGGGAAAGAACGCUAGCUGUGUCUUGGAAAGAAACUGAGGCAAUUCUUUUGUAAAAAACGUAUAGGCGGUGUUGAAGAACCCCGAGGAGGUUUGCGCUUGUCAGACCUCCUUUCAUCUCAGCCUUUUAUUUGCUCUGUGAUAUUUCAGAGUUCACUUUAAUACGGCCAUUGUGCCUCAUAUUCUUUUAUCUUCCCUUCCCGCCCCAGCCUCGGUUUGGGGGAGAGGGAUGUUGGGAAUUCCUUUGAGAAUUGGAAUGAAUGAAGCUCUGAAAGCCCUCCCCUCAAAACUCCGUGUGCCCAUACAGAAAAUCUGCAUGAGAGUUCAGGGGUCUCGUGGUCUCAGGGAGCCGUCUGUGGAUCUCAGCCGCAAGUGACUGAAUGAGGACAUGUCAGUAACAACGUGUGGCUCCAAAUGCUGCCAUGGGAACAAUAUUUAGGGUGGGAGCCUGUGACCACUGGCUAAAAAGCCUAAAGCUUGAAGGGCAGGCCAGGGCAUCUCCUGUGUGAAAAGUGGAAGUUUGCUUCGGGUUGUUUCAGAGGUGGCUAGUCCUGUGCUGUAGCCGCUGACCACAUGCUGUUAUGUAGUUAAAAUUAAAGAAUUCUGUUCUCUAUGGGCGGGAAGAAUGUUUCAAUUGGCAAAUGACUGUGUAUGUUAAUGGCGUCUGAAUUCGACAGCAAGAAUAUAGACUAUGUCACCCUUGUAGAGAAGGUUUUUCUUUUCUUUUUUUUUUUUUUGAGUCGGGGGACAGAGCUACUCUAAAAUUGGGGACCUUAAAUGGAGUGAAUCAUGGCAAGGCAGAGUUUUAACUAUGGCCAGAAGCACUUCGUCACGUUUAGCCACCCAGUGCCCGUUCUGUUGAACUGGCUGCCUCUGCUCAGAAAGCUUUCUAUCAUUCGGAGGACUCAUACAGAGACAAUUCCUACCUAUUCCAAAUGAUGUAGAAGAUUCUGCGGAGAGCUGUGGGGCGUUUACGUGGGAGGAUGGCUGUGCAAUUCAAUAGUUCUUUUACUGAAAGACAUAGACCUGGGCCACACACACACUUUCAUCCUUAGCCCCACACAUGGUCAGUGGAAAGGGUUCUAUGUCCUCACAACCCCCAGUUCCAUGGUCUUGCCCCAGCCUAAUGCUUUCACAGUGAGCCCCUUGAUGUUCUCAGUAAACAGCAUUUCUGGUUGUACAUUAACCCAUUGUCUUAGUUGUGGUCCUAUUGCUGGGAAGAGACACUAUGACCAAGGUAGCUCUUAUGAAAGAGAGCAUUUAAUUGGAGGCUUGUUUAUAGACCAUUAUUGUCAUGGUGGGCAGCAUGGUGUUGUGCAGGCAGGUGCUGGAGCUGGUGCAGGACCUAAGAGCUACAUCUUGAUCCAUAGACGA